CGUUAGUAGUCUUGAGUUUGAUUCUAAAAUGCUUGCUGUGUUUCUCCAUGUAGUAUCUCGGCUGACCCAAUGUUUGUAGUAGUUACUUAUAGAAUUACCUCAUACCCUUAGUGUUCUGUAAACAUUCAAUGUUCUAGAAAUUUUGCUCCUUCGGCUGUUGUUCGCGGCUUAACUAAAGGAAAAAGAGAUCCCACCCCAGAAACGGUUGGGGAUGGGGUGCGAAGAAACGGGGGAAUAUGAAGUAUGUAUGUUUUGGGGCCAAACUUGUGUCCUGAGACCAUAUUAGCAUGGUUAUAAACUCCAACUUGAAGUGACAUACUGGUUUAGACCAUCACAAUCUGUCGGGAAAAUCAUUGAAAUCAAUCCAUACAUGGUUGACACUAUGGCUGGAGGUGAUGCUGACUGCCAGUUCUGGCACAGGAACCUGGGAAUUAAGUGCCUGUCUGCAUGAGCCUGCAAAUAGGAGAACGAUAUCUGUCGCCGGGGCAUUGAAGUUGCUAGUCAGUUGUAUUCCUGCCAUGGCAAGGGAUCGUCUGUUGGAACAAUGAUCGCUGGACGGGGACACAAAGGCACUGUCAUAAGGACUCUUUGCAUAGUUUUAUCCUGAAUUCUACGUCUUAUUGUAAGUAAUUGGUUGUUCCUUGCAAGGUCCAGGCCUAUACUAUGCGGACAGUGAAUGCGGAUGGCUAACAGGAACUGUAGUUUCAGUUGGAUCGGGAUCACCAUGUGCUUACGGUGUUUUGGAUGGUGGGUCUGUUCUGCUCCAAUCAUCCUAAUUCCUCUAGCAUUGUUGGAUUAGCUGACCAUUCAUUAGUGAUUGCAAUGUGAAAAGAGCAGGACUGUCUUAUUGUGUUUUGUUCCAAGGAAUUUUGUGCCUGUUUGGAUGAAUGCUUCAAUCUCUGCUGUUUGUUGUACCCUCUUUGCAUUCUCAUGCAUGCUUCUCUGUGAUCACAUUUCAGGUACCGGUUUGAUAUAUGUCUCUUGAAGCAGCAGCUGGGCUGGCCAGACCCGCCGUUUACCAUGCCACAUUCAGAGAUGGCGCCGGUGGUGAUGGUGUCGGUGGUAUGUUUGUAUCUUCGCUCCAUUUUUCUGCUUGUUAGUUGGUCUGGUUUGAGAACAGGGUUUCUGCUCUCGUUGGUUUAUCGCGUGGGACCUAACGAAUGGAAGAAGCUUUCUGGCGAGGCGAUGAUGUUGGAGAACUUCACCGCACAUAUUAUCCUGUCGAGCAAACGUUAGUGGAGCGGGAAAUGGAUGAGGAUUUAACGUCUUCAGAUAUUGAAACGGGAAGAAGAUUUACGCAUGUAAUUUGAUUAUUCACAAGACGGUCGAAAGAACAGCCAAAGUCGCCACUACAUUCUUCCUCGCGAAUUGACUUGGGUUACAGGAGUGGUUCCCGCUGUAGUGACCGCAUCAUUAUUCUCUUGAAAUGCCCUUCUUUUUGGCAAAUCGACAAAUAAGUUAAAAAAGAGUAUCAGUCUUGCCAAACGACAGAAAAGAUAGAGUAGGUGUCUCGCGGAAGCCUAAAUCCGAGUCAAGGAAGAAUCGGGUCACCUUCAAAUUCAGACAGUGGUUAUCACCGCUUUUAGGUUUCGGGUUAUGAGUUUUAGAUUGAUAAAGGUAACUUAUAAAAUACUGUGGAUCUAAAUCAGGUU
Coffea arabica (coffee) is the source of this 1652-nucleotide non-coding RNA. The record is from RefSeq and is a predicted model, not a curated record. NCBI's taxonomy places the organism in Eukaryota, Viridiplantae, Streptophyta, Magnoliopsida, Gentianales, Rubiaceae.